UCACAAACUGUGUUCAUUGCAUGCAUGC
Molecule: non-coding RNA, 28 nt
Filed under: Bombyx mori (domestic silkworm)
Lineage: Eukaryota; Metazoa; Arthropoda; Insecta; Lepidoptera; Bombycidae
Source: RNAcentral